GACGGAGGAUGCAAGUGUUAUCCGGAAUCACUGGGCGUAAAGCGUCUGUAGGUGGUUUCAAAAGUCCACUGUUAAAGAUUGAAGCUUAACUUCAAAAAUGCCGUGGAAACUUUGAAACUUGAGUAUGAUAGGGGUAGAGGGAAUUUCCAGUGGAGCGGUGAAAUGCGUAGAUAUUGGAAAGACCACCAAUGGCGAAGGCACUCUACUGGGCCAUUACUGACACUGAGAGACGAAAGCUAGGGGAGCGAAUGGG
Molecule: ribosomal RNA, 253 nt
Filed under: uncultured bacterium
Lineage: Bacteria
Description: partial 16S ribosomal RNA
Rfam family: Bacterial small subunit ribosomal RNA
Source: RNAcentral